This 923-nucleotide long non-coding RNA is filed under the name Junco hyemalis (dark-eyed junco). RNAcentral describes it as "lncRNA (ENSJHYG00000010298.1)". Lineage: Eukaryota; Metazoa; Chordata; Aves; Passeriformes; Passerellidae. The record is from RNAcentral.
CUUUGGUGUGUCCACUUCUUUAAAGUGUUUUCUGUAGGCAGUUUUAAUAAGUAAUAUUUUAUAAUGUGAACUGCAAGCUCUUUAAUGAGUGUGAGCUGGUGAGCAAGUUUGGUGCUGAAAUGUGUAACAGUGACACUCUUACCCUGGCGUGGAGCCACCAGGAACAAAUCCUGGACAGGUUUUGCUGAGCCUUAGUUACCUUCCAAGGGGCAGUAGCCAGAAGAAGGUUCGUUUUUAUGGGUUUAUAUGAAAAGAUCUGUUUUUAUCAUCCAUCAAGUUUUAGAGUCUCACACCUUUCUUUUACUUUUUAAUUUUUUUUUUCUUGAAGGCUCACAAGGUCCCUGCUCCAGGCUAGAGCAGCCAGUGGAAGCACCAACACCAGUAUCACAAAGAGAUGAUGGAGUCAAAAUGACUGCUUUGGUUGGAGCUGGAUUUUUCUCUGAAGUCUGUAGAAGCUUGUUACCAUGUUAAAUGCCCAGCUUUCAUUAAAUCCACACCUGAAGGAUGAAGAAGAUUAUUUCUAGCAGUGGCAAAAAUAUUAGCAUUGUCCUCCAGUGCCCAGAAACCAUAUCACUGCAAAUGGUAAAUUAAGUUUAGUCAUGUGGUAUGAUCUCCAGCUCCCUGAGUCUCUCACCAAAGUGAGUGAGGCUGAAAUUCCCUUAUGUUAUAUCUCUCUGUUAUAAGCUGUGGUAUUGUCUCUUUGCUACAGAAGUUUUGAUUUCAUUCUCUAACACUACUUCUUCCUUGUCUUUUAGGUUUGUUGUCCUUCUAAUCAUGUGAAUUUUCAGCCCACCCAACACUUUUCUGAGGUACCUGGUACUUGCAUCUUUUGCUUCAGCAUCCUAGAAAUUCAAGGAUCUUCCUGACUUCUAUAUUAUGGGAGUUAUUGCACUCAAAUAAACUGCAAUUCUAAGGAAUAAUCA